GACGAACGCUGGCGGCGUGCUUAACACAUGCAAGUCGAACGGAAAGGCCCUGCUUUUGUGGGGUGCUCGAGUGGCGAACGGGUGAGUAACACGUGAGUAACCUGCCCUUGACUUUGGGAUAACUUCAGGAAACUGGGGCUAAUACCGGAUAGGAGCUCCUGCUGCAUGGUGGGGGUUGGAAAGUUUCGGCGGUUGGGGAUGGACUCGCGGCUUAUCAGCUUGUUGGUGGGGUAGUGGCUUACCAAGGCUUUGACGGGUAGCCGGCCUGUGAGGGUGACCGGCCACAUUGGGACUGAGAUACGGCCCAGACUCCUACGGGAGGCAGAGGUGGGGAGUAUUGCACAAUGGGCGGAAGCCUGAUGCAGCAACGCCGCGUGCGGGAUGACGGCCUUCGGGUUGUGAACCGCUUUCGCCUGUGACGAAGCGUGAGUGACGGUAAUGGGUAAAGAAGCACCGGCUAACUACGUG
RNAcentral lists this ribosomal RNA (468 nucleotides) under uncultured bacterium. RNAcentral's name for it is "partial 16S ribosomal RNA". It matches the Rfam family "Bacterial small subunit ribosomal RNA", at positions 28 to 507 of the family's 1533-position model. The record is from RNAcentral.